AGCAGCCGCCACGGUAAAACGGAGGGUGCAAGCGUUAAUCGGAAUUACUGGGCGUAAAGCGCACGCAGGCGGUCUGACAAGUCAGAUGUGAAAUCCCCGGGCUUAACCUGGGAACUGCAUUUGAAACUGUCAGGCUGGAGUCUUGUAGAGGGGGGUAGAAUUCCAGGUGUAGCGGUGAAAUGCGUAGAGAUCUGGAGGAAUACCGGUGGCGAAGGCGGCCCCCUGGACAAAGACUGACGCUCAGGUGCGAAAGCGUGGGGAGCAAACAGGAUUAGAUACCCGAGUAGUCCCUGUCUCUUAUAC
This 303-nucleotide ribosomal RNA is filed under the name uncultured bacterium. RNAcentral describes it as "partial 16S ribosomal RNA". It matches the Rfam family "Bacterial small subunit ribosomal RNA", at positions 507 to 807 of the family's 1533-position model. The record is from RNAcentral.